GGCUGAUCUGAAGGUAGCGAGUUAUCUCAAUUGAUUGUUCAGUCAGAAAUAGAUCAAAUUCCUUGUUCUACUCUUUUCCUAUUCUCACUACUGCACUUGACUAGUCUUAG
Molecule: Y RNA, 110 nt
Filed under: Saimiri boliviensis boliviensis (Bolivian squirrel monkey)
Lineage: Eukaryota; Metazoa; Chordata; Mammalia; Primates; Cebidae
Description: Y RNA (ENSSBOG00000007102.1)
Rfam family: Y RNA
About the family: Y RNAs are components of the Ro ribonucleoprotein particle (Ro RNP), in association with Ro60 and La proteins. The Y RNAs and Ro60 and La proteins are well conserved, but the function of the Ro RNP is not known.
Source: Rfam by way of RNAcentral